Long non-coding RNA from Cryptotermes secundus, 543 nucleotides. RefSeq lists it as uncharacterized. The record is from RefSeq and is a predicted model, not a curated record. The transcript has 2 exons. NCBI's taxonomy places the organism in Eukaryota, Metazoa, Arthropoda, Insecta, Blattodea, Kalotermitidae.
AGUAAGAAAUUGAAGUGAAACAAAUCGUUUCACGGAUGCCAUAUGCUCCAAAGUUGGAGCAACAGGAAAAAGAGAGACUGUUGAAAGGUGCCUCCCAAACUGCUAGAACAGACCGUACGGCUCCAUACUAUACGGCAUUACAACCCCCAGUAGUCACCGCCGUGCGGUGAAAACCUCAAAUCGAAAUCUUGUUUAUGUUCAAAAAUUAAUCUGUAACCGAAUAGACUUUGAUUUGAAUUGAUUGGUAACCAUGUUCGUUCCUUUAGACGUGUUUUACCACGCGCAGUUUUGUUUUACUAUCAUGGCUGACACGGCUGACAGACAGCCAUAAAUAUCUUUGAGAAUUUUAGAAAGGCAGUUUGUCACUUUAUAAUUACAAUGUUUAGUACUUGAUUUGAUAAAUCCCACAUUGUUUAGAGUGAGACUAUUCCCCAAUCCAUAUGAACAAUGGCAAGCAAGAACUUGGGCCAAGCCAUCCCAGGAACCGCAGUAGAACUAGAAGAUGUGUGAUGUUGACAGUGUGUGUUCAGUGCCACAAAUUCA